GAUAAACGCUGGCGGCGUGCCUAAAACAUGCAAGUCGAACGGUCUAUGGUCUUCGGACCGUAGGUAGUGGCGGACGGCUGAGUAACACGUGGGUGACCUGCCCCGGAGCGGGGGAUAACUGCCCGAAAGGGUGGCUAAUACCGCAGACAUCAUGGAUUCGGUUUCAUGAUUGAACCGAGUGAGGGUUCUGGGAGGGGCCCGCGGCCGAUUAGCUAGCUGGUGGGGUAACGGCCUACCAGGGCAUCGAUCGGUAGCUGGUCUGAGAGGAUGAUCAGCCAGACUGGGACUGCGAACGGCCCAGACUCCUACGGGAGGCAGCAGUUAGGAAUUUUGGGCAAUGGGCGAAAGCCUGACCCAGCAACGCCGCGUGGGUGAUGAAGGCCCUCGGGUCGUAAAGCCCUUUUCCCAGGGAAGAUGAUGACGGUACCUGGGGAAUCAGCCCCGGCUAACUACGUGCCAGCAGCCGCAGUAAGAC
This 475-nucleotide ribosomal RNA is filed under the name uncultured bacterium. RNAcentral's name for it is "bacterial SSU rRNA". It matches the Rfam family "Bacterial small subunit ribosomal RNA", at positions 28 to 526 of the family's 1533-position model. The record is from RNAcentral.